UACGAAGGGGGCUAGCGUUGCUCGGAAUUACUGGGCGUAAAGGGCGCGUAGGCGGAUAGUUUAGUUGGGGGUGAAAGCCCGGGGCUCAACCUCGGAAUUGCCUUCAAUACUGGCUAUCUUGAGUAUGAGAGAGGUGUGUGGAACUCCGAGUGUAGAGGUGAAAUUCGUAGAUAUUCGGAAGAACACCAGUGGCGAAGGCGACACACUGGCUCAUUACUGACGCUGAGGCGCGAAAGCGUGGGGAGCAAACAGG
This 253-nucleotide ribosomal RNA is filed under the name uncultured bacterium. RNAcentral's name for it is "partial 16S ribosomal RNA". It matches the Rfam family "Bacterial small subunit ribosomal RNA", at positions 524 to 776 of the family's 1533-position model. The record is from RNAcentral.